RNAcentral lists this ribosomal RNA (1958 nucleotides) under human gut metagenome. Its description in RNAcentral is "bacterial LSU rRNA". It matches the Rfam family "Bacterial large subunit ribosomal RNA", at positions 1 to 1983 of the family's 2925-position model. The record is from RNAcentral.
GAAAGUAAGCAAGGGCAGACGGUGGAUGCCUUGGCUCUCGGAGGCGACGAAGGACGUGAUAAGCUGCGAAAAGCCCGGGGGAGGCGCAAAUAGCCCUUGAUCCCGGGAUAUCCGAAUGGGGCAACCCGGCAGGCUGAAGGCCUGCCAUCCCGUAAGGGAGGCGAACGUGGGGAACUGAAACAUCUAAGUACCCAUAGGAGGAGAAAAUAAACAAUGAUUCCGUAAGUAGUGGCGAGCGAACACGGAAGAGCCCAAACCCAUGUCGUCUAGGCGACACGGGGGUUGUAGGACCACGACGUGGCAAGAUAGAGUCAAGUGGAACGCCUUGGAAAAGGCGACCGUAGAGGGUGAUAGUCCCGUACACGACUGACGAUUGAAGCCUAGUGGCAUCCUGAGUAGCGCGGGGCACGAGAAAUCUUGCGUGAAACAGCGGGGCCCAUCCCGUAAGGCUAAAUACUCCCGAGAGACCGAUAGCGAACCAGUACCGUGAGGGAAAGGUGAAAAGAACCCCGAGCAGGGGAGUGAAAUAGACCCUGAACCCGUCUGCCUACAAGCGGUCGGAGCAUCGUCAAGAUGUGACGGCGUGCCUUUUGCAUAAUGAACCUACGAGUUACCUUCCCCGGCAAGGUUAAGUACCUAAGGUACGGAGCCGAAGCGAAAGCGAGUCUGAAGAGGGCGGCCAGUCGGGGGGGGUAGACGCGAAACCGAGUGAUCUACCCUUGGCCAGGUUGAAGGUUGGGUAACACCAACUGGAGGACCGGAUGGGUAAGCGUUGAAAAGCUUUCCAAUGAGCUGAGGGUAGGGGUGAAAGGCUAAUCAAACUCGGAGAUAGCUCGUACUCCCCGAAAUGCAUUUAGGUGCAGCCUCUUUAUAGUAUAUCGUGAGGUAGAGCGACUGAUUGGAUGCGAGGGCUUCACCGCCUAUCAAGUCCAGAUAAACUCCGAAUGCGCGAUAUAUAUUUACAGGGAGUGAGGGCGCGGGUGCUAAGGUCCGUGUCCGAGAGGAGAAGAAUCCAGACCACCGGCUAAGGCCCCCAAAUGAUCGUUGAGUUGAACUAACGAGGUCGGAUCGCAGAGACAGCUAGGAUGUUGGCUUGGAAGCAGCCAUUCAUUUAAAGAGUGCGUAACAGCUCACUAGUCGAGCGAUCUGGCGUGGAUAAUAAUCGGGCAUAAACGAUCUGCCGAAGCCGUGGAUGUCGUAAGACAUGGUAGGGGAGCAUUCCAUGCGGCGUCGAAGAUGAGGGAUGACCCUUGUUGGAGCGCAUGGAAAAGCAAAUGUAGGUAUGAGUAACGAUAAGGGGGGCGAGAAACCCCCCCGCCGAAAGACCAAGGUUUCCUGAUCAACGCUAAUCGGAUCAGGGUGAGUCGGGACCUAAGGCAAAGCCGAACGGCGACGCCGAUGGAAGAAUGGGUUAAUAUUCCCAUACUGCCUCAUGGAGUGACGUGGAGACGGAGAAGUGACAGUCCUGCCGGCUGACGGAAUAGCCGGUUGAAGGGUGUAGGAGUCGAUCAUGGUAGGCAAAUCCGCCGUGAGAUCCGAACCUGACAGUAUACUGAGCGCUUGCGCGACGUAAUAUGGACGUAACCAUGCUCCCAAGAAAAUCCGCUAAACUUAUCCAUGCGGCACCCGUACCGUAAACGGACACACGUGGUCGGGUUGAGAAUACUGAGGCGCUCGAGUGACUCACGGUUAAGGAACUAGGCAAAUUGACCCUGUAACUUCGGGAUAAAGGGUCCUCGUCGUAAGGCGAGGCGCAGAGAAUAGGUCCAGGCAACUGUUUAACAAAAACACAUGGCUGUGCUAAAUGGAAACAUGACGUAUACAGCCUGACACCUGCCCGGUGCUGGAAGGUUAAGAGGAGAUGUCAUCGCAAGAGAAGCGUUGAAUUGAAGCCCCAGUAAACGGCGGCCGUAACUAUAACGGUCCUAAGGUAGCGAAAUUCCUUGUCGGGUAAGUUC